This is a non-coding RNA of Zootoca vivipara (common lizard), 437 nucleotides long. Lineage: Eukaryota; Metazoa; Chordata; Lepidosauria; Squamata; Lacertidae. The record is from RefSeq and is a predicted model, not a curated record.
CAAGGUGAGACCCCUGGGAGAAAAAGUGUUCUUCGUGUUCUUCAGCAUUUAUGCCUCUUCAGAGAGGCUUUCAGUAUGGUGAAGUCAAUAUGGCGUGUGCUGCCAAGAGAAUCUAUGCCAGAGAGAUUCCUGAACCUAACUGUGAUUGUGCACCCUCAAGACUUGGUGAAACUCACUUCUCUUUAGCACCUCUUCAUUGGAAAAGGCCAGAAUCCAAUCCUCCUGCUUGGGAUGGAAGAGCAUGCUAUGGAUGUAGAAGUUCAGACGGUAUUUUUGAUAGGUGGCGCCUUCAUCAGAACUGAUCAACAGGCUGCUCUCAAUCUCAGGAAAGAAGACAGGAUUCAGAUUGGAUCAAAUGAAUCCCAUCAAUGAGAAAGCUGUAACUGGUCAUUUUAAAAUAGAGAGACUGGCUUGAUCUGCAGGACUGAGAGUCAGUA